GGCUCCAGUUGCUGAGGUGAACACCAUGUCCCACAAGGAGACAGGGAGAGGAGAGAUAUACAUGUCAUAGAAUCAUAGAAUGGUUUGGAUUGGAAGGGACCUUGAAGAUCAUCUAGUUCCAGCCCCCACUCCAGUGACUGUCUCUCUCCUUGCUGUUGUUCUCCCAGCCCAUCUCUGCCACAAAGAGUGGACAGAUCUAGAGACGGUGAAGACACUGCUGGAAAAAUCAGCAGUCUGAAUCUGCAAAGCCAAGACAGGAGGCCUGCGCAGAUGCUGCUCACCCUUGUGAACAUGUUUCAAGUAUCACCUUUUUGUGUUCAAAGCCAUCAAGUCAGCCACAUGUUCACCGAGUUGUAUCUUGUCUUCUGUCUCUCAGUGCUACCCCGGAGCAUGCAAACACAGGAGGCUCCUGAAGCAUAGCUGGGAAGGUGCUGGGCACCCCCACAGGGUGCAGCCUGCCACCUGUUGCCCUGCUCAUUUUCACCACCCAGCCAAGAGACAGAUGAAGCAGAGCUCCUGCAAACUUCUGCUGAAGUGACAGUAAAGGGAGAUGCUUGAAAAAAGCCAUCAACUCCUGGCAGGGACAGAAGAAAGAGGAGAGCCCUGGUGAACCAACGGUGGUUUUUUUAAAAUAUAAAAUAAUAUACUUCAGACUUGCAGUGGUUUUUGCUUCCUGAUCAACAGUUUUAAGCCAACCCAACUACUUUCCUCUUUUUCUGGUCAUUUUAAGGUCUUUUCACCGAGGUGAAAUUAAAUACGAGGCGCGGGAGGAGACCUGCCGGUUUUCCUGCCAUUCUCACCUGCGUGGGAGUGGCAGGAGCUGGGAGUUAAGGCAGCACCGUGUAUUCACUGACCAGGCAGGCACAGAGAAGUGUGGAAGAUCACCACAGUGUAUUUAAAGCUGUGCAGCAAUAACAGCUAAUUUGUUUUUGCCUAAAGAGCAGUUAGGGUUGGUUUUGUUUCAUUUUAAAUAAAGACAUUUGGACUCCAAA
Long non-coding RNA from Pyrgilauda ruficollis (rufous-necked snowfinch), 992 nucleotides. RefSeq lists it as uncharacterized. The record is from RefSeq and is a predicted model, not a curated record. NCBI's taxonomy places the organism in Eukaryota, Metazoa, Chordata, Aves, Passeriformes, Passeridae. The transcript has 2 exons.